Xiphophorus maculatus (southern platyfish) is the source of this 3311-nucleotide long non-coding RNA. RefSeq lists it as uncharacterized. The record is from RefSeq and is a predicted model, not a curated record. The transcript has 3 exons. NCBI's taxonomy places the organism in Eukaryota, Metazoa, Chordata, Actinopteri, Cyprinodontiformes, Poeciliidae.
AUGUUAAAAUGAGAAAUGUAAGGUGCAUGAAUGCAAAAGUUUUGAUUUAAUUCGUAAAAGUCAACAGUUUCACUACAAUUCAGAUUUAGGCAUUCCCAUCUCAAACUUUUCAAAAUAAAGCAAGAGUGAGUUAAAAAGACAAAAAGAAAAUGUAGAAAAAUACGAUCAGCCUGAAGAAAUAGCAUACUGUUUGUUGUUAUUUUUUUAAUCUAGCAAACCUGCAAAUAUAUAUAUUUUUGUUUUAAAUCUACAAUAAUAUAUGAAAAGUUAAAUUAUGUGACUGCUAUCAUGUUUAGUUUCGGGUUAAAAAUGAAAACAUAACAUCAUUUUUGCAAACACAAAAGUACUAAAAUGUGUGUGGCCCCUGGAGUUGUUUCAGCUUGACAUUUUUGGCCCCCAUGCCAGAAAGUUAUCACACCCAUUGUCUUAUAUGAAAUGUGCUCUUAUUUUUUCAGUGUAAAGACUGAAAAAGAAGGUUUGGACAUUAUACUGAGAGUUGUCAAAACUUUCAGGGUACAGCAAUAUGCAAACCUACCUGCAUAAUACAUUAAAUACUGAGUGGUAUUGGCAGCCAUUUUGGAUGCCACGUAAGAUUGUAGUGUAGUCACAGGAGCAUUUUUUAAUCAUUGGGGGGACAAAAUGGAUAAGUUGCUUAAUUAUGUGGCCUUCAUCAAAAUUGUCUGGAAAAAUUUGACGAAUCUUUGUAUUUUAGAAAGUGAAUGUGGAAUUUGAUUAGUUUGGCUGCUGUCAGAUUAUUUUUUUUAGGUCUAAAUUGCAUUUCUCAAUUUUAAGCAAACAUUGGUUUUAGUCACUUUGACACCAGGCCCCUCGUCUUAAGAAGAAAGUUAGAUUAAAAAAAAAAAAUGCCUGUGGCCACAUAGCAUUUUGUCUUUACAAUAAUUCAUCCCAGGCUACGUUUUAUUAUGUGUUUUCUUGUAAUUGGUGCCUAAUAUUGUCAAGUUAUUUUUAGAUGUGAUUAUGAUGUUAUUAUUGUUUCUUUUUCAGAGAUGCUAAGUCACGAUGAAGCAAUGUUUUCAACCAUGGGUUAACAUGACAGGGAGUGAAUAGAGUUCCCAUCCGCUGAGGUCAGGCUGCCAUCUUUGCGCAGUGGCAGUAUCGUAGCCUAUGAGGUUUAUCCGAGGCGCGAUUAUUGCUAGUUGAAAACUUUACCCAAUACCCCGCCUUGACGACUUGAAAUAUAGUCGGCAAUGGCAAUUUUUGACGGUCUCUACGGAGGCUGAUUUUAUUGUAAAUGGAACAAAAUUUUGAUCUGAGAAGUAUUGAGAAAGUAAUCUGCAUUCAUUGGUAUGUAUUUCCGAAUGGUGAUGGGCCCGAUGACGCAGAAACCUCGGCGCAUGCGCCGAGCAAACAAAACGAAACCUCGUGUCGGUGCGCGUAUCGCUUUAAGGAAAACCACGUGGCCAAAUACAGUUCCUGUGUCGUUUGGUUGCGAAAACGCGCCAAAUUGUUUUUGUGAAGGAGAAACAGCGUCGACACGUUUGUGGGUUUUGUUGAAUGGAGAUACUUUGCGUUGGUUUUUGGCUCGUAUUUGAACACCGGCAUGAAUCAACCGAGGAAGAGGACUUUUCCUCCCGUGUGGGAUCAUUCUUGAUCUGGUCGCGGAGGAUAAGGUGAAACAGGAUUUGCUCCCAGGUGUGGUCUUACUGUAACUGGAGAUCUUCCACAAAGCUGAGGCAUCAUCGCGCCCGGCAUGAGGGGAUGAUCCGGUCAACACUCCGUGAUAAACCCUGGUGCUUCCAGAAAGCAGGCGACUGAACUGGACCUUCAACUCAACCGCCUGCUCCCAGUUCAGACCCGUGGCAGCAGCUGAACAUGGAAAUCGAAGAGGGCAAGGCCAAUUCAAAUGUCUCCACAGAUGCCGUCAUCGAGGUACAAAGAUUCAUCUCGGAGGCAAACGCACCAAGAUCACAAGGUCCGCUACAAUACUGGGGGAUGCAAAGACUACAAUUACCCUACGUCACACAAACAAUGAUUAAAUUUCUAUGUAUGCCGUCAUCAUCGGUGUUCUCAAAAGCAGGAGAAGUGGUUUGUAGACGGAGCAAUCGCCUCGGCCCAAGGCUGUUACAGCAGCUGGUGUUUCUAAAUAAAAACAUGUGGAUGAACCUGGUUCAGUCUGUUUCCAGUCUCUUGCUGUGACAUGAUCUGCAACAGCAACACAUUGUCAGCACUGUGUCGACACAGUUUGAGGUAUAUGCCAAUGAGGCAUCAUCUGACCGUCACUAUUUCUGAAAGCGGUCAGGAUGUGUCUAGUCAAUGAAGUCUUGUAGUUUCUGUAUAACAGAAUUCAUAAGUGAUUUUUCUCUUCCGUUCCACGUUUGAAAACCAAUUAACUGUUCUGAGCCAGUUCGCCUUGUCUCGUGAAAGCAAAGAAGACAAUGUCUUUUCAUCAACAUAUUAAUAUUUGGAUGACCCAUAAGUACCCAAAUAUUUCUGUCUAAAGUCUCCAAGAAGAAAUAGGCUCUUAUUUUUUCAGUGUCAUAACUACGCUGAGGUUUGGACAUUGCAUAUCAAUUUACAGCAAUGGGCUGUGCAAACCUACCUGCACAACACAUUGACUGCUGGGUGAUAUUAUUAGCCAUUUGGGAUGCCAUUUAAGAUUUUCACCAGCUGAAGAUGAAGUGUAUAGUCACUUUAGCAUUUUUUAGCAAUUGUGAAUAAAAUCGACAGAAUGCAAAUUGUUGAAUUUGUUAGGCUUCCCGCUUCUUUGUGUAAGUUAUCUAAAGAAAACAAAACCUCGAUGAAUUAUUGUAUUUUAUAAAGUGAAUGUGGAAUUUGAUUAGUUUGACAGCUGUCAGUUAAAUUUCAUUAAAGUCUACAUUGCAGUUCUCAAAUUGAAGCAAACAUUGGUUUCAAUCAGUUGAUGCCCAAUAUUGUCAAGUUAUUUUUUAAAUGUGAUUAUAAUGUUAUUACUGUUUACUCUGCAGAGCUGCUGAAUGAAGACGAAGCAAUGUUUUCAACCAUGGGUUAACAUGAUAGGGAGUGAAUAGAGUUCCCAUCCGCUGAGGUCAGGCUGCCAUCUUUGCGCAGUGGCAGUAUCGUAGCCUAUGAGGUUUAACCGAGGCGCGAUUAUUGCUAGUUGAAAACUUUACCCAAUACCCCGCCUUGACGACUUGAAAUAUAGUCGGCAAUGGCAAUUUUUGACGGUCUCUACGGAGGCUGAUUUUUUUGUGAAAGUGAUCACAUAUGGGACUUAUGCAUGGUCAGACAUAGAUCUUACAAACUUAAAAAGUAGACUAAUGUUAGCUAUGUGUGUUUAUGAAAGCAGACUGAAUGUGUCUAAAAAAAAAGUU